UGCGCUGCGAUCUACCGCGCGCGUGAUCGAUGCCUAUAACCUAUAACCUUGUAAACGUUGAACUGCGUUGAACAAAUAUAUUUUAUCUGCGUUUUGACGUGCGGCGGGAUUAAGUGUUAAGUGCGUGUGUGCAACCAUUCGAAAUAAGGCAAGACAAAGUCUUUUUGGAUACAAAAGAAUCACGCUCACUGGUACGCGGUCAUAAAAAAAAGGUGGAUAUAGGAUUGGCGAAAGAAGAUCCUUCUUAGUGGCGAGGAGCAGUUUUGAGAGCAAAAGCAUAUGUUAUGCGUUUAUGAUUAUGUAUCUAAUCUAAUGUGUCUGUAUGAGUGCCCUGAAUUAAUUGAAGCUUGGGGUAAUGAAUUUGAAGCUUUGUAUACCAGGUA
Molecule: RNA transcript, 383 nt
Organism: Solenopsis invicta (red fire ant)
Lineage: Eukaryota; Metazoa; Arthropoda; Insecta; Hymenoptera; Formicidae
Exons: 2
Source: RefSeq, a predicted model, not a curated record